Hipposideros armiger (great roundleaf bat) is the source of this 601-nucleotide long non-coding RNA. RefSeq lists it as uncharacterized. The record is from RefSeq and is a predicted model, not a curated record. The transcript has 3 exons. NCBI's taxonomy places the organism in Eukaryota, Metazoa, Chordata, Mammalia, Chiroptera, Hipposideridae.
UAAAAGGAAAAGGUGUAGUCACUGGGCCAUUCCGCCCUGCUUGCGCCUUCCGAGAUCACCAGGGAUACCCGGUCAGCGCGCGCUGAGCGGACACAAGGUUCCCAGCAAAAGGCGCGCGUCUGUUGGAACGAUUUGAAAACAGGUGUGAAAACUGAGGCCAGAGACAGUCUCUAAGAGCCGCACCCCCAGAUCACUCUGCAAGUUCUUGGGACCAGGGCCUCAGCCCCAAAUGUCUGAGGCCAGAGAUCUUUUCCACGAUGUCAUGUUGGCAAGAAACGGCACCCUCCACCACUCCCCACAGCCCCAACUAUCAACUCUACUUCCUAGCCAGGAGGUUUCCUAGAAGCUGCAAAACUAUUGUACCGUAUCACGGCCAGGAUGAUAACACGGAUACUGUCAUAUCCAGAACUUUUACAUCACAACAAGGAUUGCUCCUUUCGCUCUUAUAAGCCACUCCCACUUGUCUUCCACUCUCAUGUCCCCCUUAACCUCUGACACCACUCAUCUUCUCUCCAUGUCUAUAACUUGUCAUUUCAAGAAUGUCAUAUAAGGGCCGGCCAAGUGGCGCGAUGGUUAAGAACUCGCUUGGGAUGCCAGAGGG